ACGAACGCUGGCGGCGUGCUUAACACAUGCAAGUCGAACGGUGAAGCGCCUUCCUUUUUGGUGGGUGUGGAUGAGUGGCGAACGGGUGAGUAACACGUGAGUAACCUGCCCCCUUCUUCUGGAUAACCGCAUGAAAGUGUGGCUAAUACGGGAUAUUCUGGGUCUGUCGCAUUAUGGGUCUGGGAAAGAUAUUGUUUCGGUGGGGGAUGGGCUCGCGGCCUAUCAGCUUGUUGGUGGGGUGAUGGCCUACCAAGGCGGUGACGGGUAGCCGGCCUGGGAGGGUGGACGGUCACACUGGGACUGAGACACGGCCCAGACUCCUACGGGAGGCAGCAGUGGGGAAUAUUGCACAAUGGGCGCAAGCCUGAUGCAGCGACGCCGCGUGAGGGAUGGAGGCCUUCGGGUUGUGAACCUCUUUCGCCAGUGAAGCAGGCCUGCCUCGUUUGUGGGUGGGUUGACGGUAGCUGGAUAAGAAGCGCCGGCUAACUACGUG
RNAcentral lists this ribosomal RNA (493 nucleotides) under uncultured bacterium. Its description in RNAcentral is "partial 16S ribosomal RNA". It matches the Rfam family "Bacterial small subunit ribosomal RNA", at positions 29 to 507 of the family's 1533-position model. The record is from RNAcentral.